Molecule: ribosomal RNA, 433 nt
Filed under: uncultured bacterium
Lineage: Bacteria
Description: partial 16S ribosomal RNA
Rfam family: Bacterial small subunit ribosomal RNA
Source: RNAcentral
AACGAACGCUGGCGGCAUGCCUAACACAUGCAAGUCGAACGAGACCUCCGGGUCUAGUGGCGCACGGGUGCGUAACGCGUGGGAAGCUGCCCUUAGGUACGGGAUAACUCCCCGACAGGGGUGCUAAUACCGGAUAAUUUCUUCGGACCAAAGAUUUAUCGCCUUUGGAUGGGCCCGCGUUGGAUUAGCUGGUUGGGAUGGUAAAAGCCUACCAAGGCGAGGAUCCAUAGCUGGUCUGAGAGGAUGAUCAGCCACACUGGGACUGAGACACGGCCCAGACUCUUACGCGAGGCGGCAGUGGGUAAUACUGGAAAAUGGGCGAAAGCCUGAUCCAGCAAUGCUGCGUGAGUGAUGAAGGCCUGAGGGUUGUAAAGCUCGUUUACCCGGGAUGAUAAUGACAGUACCGGGAGAAUAAGCACCGGCUAACUCCGUG